RNAcentral lists this ribosomal RNA (446 nucleotides) under uncultured bacterium. RNAcentral's name for it is "partial 16S ribosomal RNA". It matches the Rfam family "Bacterial small subunit ribosomal RNA", at positions 338 to 795 of the family's 1533-position model. The record is from RNAcentral.
CCUACGGGUGGCAGCAGUCGAGAAUCAUUCACAAUGGGGGGAACCCUGAUGGUGCGACGCCGCGUGGGGGAAUGAAGGUCUUCGGAUUGUAAACCCCUGUCAUGUGGGAGCAAAUUAAAAAGAUAGUACCACAAGAGGAAGAGACGGCUAACUCUGUGCCAGCAGCCGCGGUAAUACAGAGGUCUCAAGCGUUGUUCGGAAUCACUGGGCGUAAGGCGUGCGUAGGCUGUUUCGUAAGUCGUGUGUGAAAGGCGCGGGCUCAACCCGCGGACGGCACAUGAUACUGCGAGACUAGAGUAAUGGAGGGGGAACCGGAAUGCUCGGUGUAGCAGUGAAAUGCGUAGAUAUCGAGAGGAACACUCGUGGCGAAGGCGGGUUCCUGGACAUUAACUGACGCUGAGGCACGAAGGCCAGGGGAGCGAAAGGGAUUAGAUACCCGAGUAGUC